RNAcentral lists this long non-coding RNA (1304 nucleotides) under Macaca mulatta (Rhesus monkey). Its description in RNAcentral is "lncRNA (ENSMMUG00000065050.1)". Lineage: Eukaryota; Metazoa; Chordata; Mammalia; Primates; Cercopithecidae. The record is from RNAcentral.
GGAGCGCACAGAACUGCAAGCAAAGGGCGGUGGGGCCUGGACCCUGAAGUGAGUGGCCGACCGCAGCAGCUCAAGGUGCCAUCUGCCUGGUCGCGAGGUGGCUUCAGACUGGGGCAACUGAUGCAGCAGAGAAGCGCAGAGCGCCCGGGGGGAGCGGGCAAAGAGGCACUACACUCCAGGGCGGCGCUUUGGAACCGUCCUUGGCCUGGGUGCACCUACUCUGGAUUCGCCCAGGCUGCAGAUGUUCUUUCCUUUUGCUGGGGCCACGGGGCAUAGCACCUGGGCAGAGCACCUGGGCAGAGCAAUCGAAGAGGCACCACACCCCCGAGAGGCGCUUCGGAGUUGUACUUGGACCGGGCGCAGACACUCAGUAUUGGUCAGCGCUGGAAAUUUUCUUGCCUUUUGCUGUUGGGGCCGCAGAACUAGUCUCCUCCUUUCCCCUGCUCAGACAAAGGGCACGGGAAGGGCUUUGCUGGGGCAAAGGGUGGUGGGGAGGUUCUCUUAACCGCGACAGAUGGGUCGCGGUUAAGACUUUAAUUGCUGACUUUUGGGCCGGAUCAGAUUCCUUUUCCUACCUGCCACUUCCCAACAGCGAAAAAAUCCCCCUCCUGCUGCACUCCUCCGCCACAGGGCUAGGAUGAAAGGAAAAAGCCAAGAAGCGCGAAAACAGCCCAGCUCUGGAAGACUUUAGAGAGUCCAGCUGACUUAUGCACAAUUCGCCGGCCUCUGGAGCCUUACCUGCCUUCUUGACAGAAUGCCACCAGUUUGUUUUACGCUUGUGGUGUGUCCCUCCCUCUCCCCUUCUCCUCCCCCUCCCCUCUCCUUAACUGCAAAAGAGCCUUUAUUUGACCUCUGUAAAUUUCUCCUUUGGUGUAUACAAAACUAAAAAGGAAAAAAUAUUGGCUAAGAGGUAUGCAUGCUUUGUAUAGUUUAUAUUUCAACAAUUUGCUUUUCACUGGUCUUUUCAGGAUUUGCCCUUUUGGCAAGUGUUUGAAAAUGUCAUUUGAGUUAACACAAAUAUGGCAAAGCAUCAAUUAUACUCUUCCUUUAAGAUGGCCUUGAGUUUACUAAAGACUGAAAAGAUGCUUUACAACUCUAGGCCUUGAUAUCCAACAUUUGUUAAUUUUUUCAAAACCUAACCAAAAACACGUGUUAAUUAGCAAUACUAUCUCUAUUAAAUAAGAAUUGUCAUAAAACACAAAAUGUAUUUAGAAAGGGCUUCUGUCUUACUGUCCAAUCUGUCCAGUGCUUUAUUUACAAAUAUAUUUGAAAAUGACAAAAAAAAGCAAUAAGAACAGAGUAUA